Molecule: ribosomal RNA, 587 nt
Filed under: uncultured bacterium
Lineage: Bacteria
Description: bacterial SSU rRNA
Rfam family: Bacterial small subunit ribosomal RNA
Source: RNAcentral
CCUACGGGAGGCAGCAGUGGGGAAUCUUGCACAAUGGAGGAAACUCUGAUGCAGCGAUGCCGCGUGAGUGAAGAAGGCCUUUGGGUUGUAAAGCUCUUUUGUAGGGGAAGAUAAUGACUGUACCCUAAGAAUAAGGUCCGGCUAACUUCGUGCCAGCAGCCGCGGUAAUACGAAGGGACCUAGCGUAGUUCGGAAUUACUGGGCGUAAAGCGCGCGUAGGCCGUUGAGUUAGUUAAUUGUGAAAUCCCAAAGCUUAACUUUGGAACUGCAAUUAAAACUGCUCGACUAGAGUUUGAUAGAGGAAAGCGGAAUACAUAGUGUAGAGGUGAAAUUCGUAGAUAUUAUGUAGAACACCAGUUGCGAAGGCGGCUUUCUGGAUCAACACUGACGCUGAGGCGCGAAAGUAUGGGUAGCAAAGAGGAUUAGAUACCCUCGUAGUCCAUACCAUAAACGAUGAUUGCUAGAUGUUGGAAAUUUAUUUUACAGUAUCGCAGCUAACGCAUUAAGCAAUCCGCCUGGGGAGUACGACCGCAAGGUUAAAACNCAAAGNGUAAUGACGCGAGAGACNGACCGAGCACGACGAGGAG